RNAcentral lists this ribosomal RNA (384 nucleotides) under Homonota andicola (Cei's marked gecko). Its description in RNAcentral is "partial 12S ribosomal RNA". It matches the Rfam family "Bacterial small subunit ribosomal RNA", at positions 793 to 1373 of the family's 1533-position model. Lineage: Eukaryota; Metazoa; Chordata; Lepidosauria; Squamata; Phyllodactylidae. The record is from RNAcentral.
UGCUCAGCCGUAAACCAAGAUGGUUUAAAUAUACCCCCAUCUGCCAGAGAACUACAAGUGAAAAACUUAAAACUCCAAGGACUUGACGGUGCCCCACACCAACCUAGAGGAGCCUGUCCAAUAAUCGAUACCCCACGCUAUACCUUACCCCCCCUCGCCCCACAGCCUAUAUACCGCCGUCGCCAGCCUACCUACUGAUAGCAUAACAGUCGGCACAACCGCACCCCGCACAAGCACGUCAGGUCAAGGUGUAGCCCAUGGGGGGGGCUGAGAUGGGCUACAUUUGCUGCCAACAGCAAACCAACCAAAGCUACAUGAAACUGUUUAGCCAACAGGCGGAUUUAGUAGUAAACAGGGCAAGCUCUGCCCUCUUGAACUUUGCUC